RNAcentral lists this ribosomal RNA (492 nucleotides) under uncultured bacterium. Its description in RNAcentral is "partial 16S ribosomal RNA". It matches the Rfam family "Bacterial small subunit ribosomal RNA", at positions 29 to 507 of the family's 1533-position model. The record is from RNAcentral.
AGUGAACGCUGGCGGUAGGCCUAAAACAUGCAAGUCGAACGGCAGCACAGUAAGAGCUUGCUCUUACGGGUGGCGAGUGGCGGACGGGUGAGGAAUACAUCGGAAUCUACUUUUUCGUGGGGGAUAACGUAGGGAAACUUACGCUAAUACCGCAUACGACCUACGGGUGAAAGCAGGGGAUCUUCGGACCUUGCGAGAGUGAAUGAGCCGAUGUCGGAUUAGCUAGUUGGCGGGGUAAAGGCCCACCAAGGCGACGAUCCGUAGCUGGUCUGAGAGGAUGAUCAGCCACACUGGAACUGAGACACGGUCCAGACCCCUACGGGAGGCAGCAGUGGGGAAUAUUGGACAAUGGGCGCAAGCCUGAUCCAGCCAUACCGCGUGGGUGAAGAAGGCCUUCGGGUUGUAAAGCCCUUUUGUUGGGAAAGAAAAGCAGCAGGUUAAUACCCCGCUGUUCUGACGGUACCCAAAGAAUAAGCACCGGCUAACUUCGUG